This 1436-nucleotide ribosomal RNA is filed under the name uncultured bacterium. Its description in RNAcentral is "bacterial SSU rRNA". It matches the Rfam family "Bacterial small subunit ribosomal RNA". The record is from RNAcentral.
GAUUAACACUGGCGGCAUGCCUAAUACAUGCAAGUCGAACGAGAUAGCAAUAUCUAGUGGCGAACGGGUGAGUAACACGUAUCCAAUCUACCCUUUAGUUGGGGAUAACUAGUCGAAAGACUGGCUAAUACCGAAUAUAAUCAUUUGGCCGCAUGGCUGAAUGAUAAAAGAUGCCUCAAAGCAUCGCUAUUGGAUGAGGGUGCGGCGUAUUAGAUAGUUGGUGAGGUAAUGGCUCACCAAGUCGAUGAUGCGUAGUUGUACUGAGAGGUAGAACAACCACAAUGGAACUGAGACACGGUCCAUACCUCUACGGAGGGCAGCAGUAGGGAAUUUUCCACAAUGGGCGAAAGCCUGAUGGAGCAAUGCCGCGUGAACGAUGAAGGCCCUCUGGGUCGUAAAGUUCUUUUAUUGGGGAAGAAAGAUUAAUCAGGAAAUGGGUUAAUUCUGACGGUACCCUUUGAAUAAGUAACGGCUAACUAUGUGCCAGCAGCCGCGGUAAUACAUAGGUUGCAAGUGUUAUCCGGAUUUAUUGGGCGUAAAGCAAGCGCAGUCGGAUUAGCAAGUUUGGUGUUAAAUACAAUAGCUCAACUAUUGUUUGCAUCAAAAACUGCUAGUCUAGAGUGUAGUAGAGAGUUCUGGAACUCCAUGUGGAGCGGUGGAAUGCGUAGAUAUAUGGAAGAACACCAAUGGCGAAGGCAAGAACUUGGGCUAUUACUGACGAUUAGGCUUGAAAGUGUGGGGAGCAAAUAGGAUUAGAUACCCUAGUAGUCCACACCGUAAACGAUGGUUAUUAGAUGUCGGUGCAAAAGCAUCGGUGUCGACGCUAACGCAUUAAAUAACCCGCCUGGGUAGUACAUUCGCAAGAAUGAAACUCAAACGGAAUUGACGGGGACCCGCACAAGUGGUGGAGCAUGUUGCUUAAUUUGACAAUACACGUAAAACCUUACCUAGGUUUGACAUCUCCAGCAAUGGCAUAGAAAUAUGUUUUGAGGUUAACUGGAAGACAGGUGGUGCAUGGUUGUCGUCAGCUCGUGUCGUGAGAUGUUGGGUUAAGUCCCGCAACGAGCGCAACCCCUUUCAUUAGUUACUUGAUCUAAUGAUACUGCUAUCGCAAGGUAGAGGAAGGUGGGGAUGACGUCAAAUCAUCAUGCCCCUUAUAUCUAGGGCCGCAAACGUGCUACAAUGGUCGGUACAAAGAGUCGCUAAGCCGCGAGGCCAUGCUAAUCUCACAAAGCCGAUCUCAGUUCGGAUUGAAGGCUGCAAUUCGCCUUCAUGAAGUUGGAAUCACUAGUAAUCACGAAUCAGACAUGUCGUGGUGAAUACGUUCUCGGGUCUUGUACACACCGCCCGUCAAACUAUGGGAGUCGAUAAUAUCUGAAGACGUGUAGCUAACCGCAAGGAGGCGCAUGGCUAGGGUAGGAUUGGCAACUAGAGUU